CCCCUCUCAGGGUCACAACUGGAGAGUUCCCAUUACUCUACCAGUCUCACCUACAGGAGGGAGAGUCAGGCAGAGGCAUAUCCAUUCAAUUCCUAGCUUGGGCCGUGGCUAGCGAGUGGAAGGCAAUCUGCUACAAAU
Non-coding RNA from Ornithorhynchus anatinus (platypus), 138 nucleotides. NCBI's taxonomy places the organism in Eukaryota, Metazoa, Chordata, Mammalia, Monotremata, Ornithorhynchidae. The record is from Rfam.